ACAAGCCAAGGACAAAAAAAAGGGGCGGCUAAUACAGUAUAUCAGAGCUAAUCAAGCUUCUCAACUACUGUAGCAAAAAAACUAAGUAAUUUUUUCUAUCUUCACAUAUUUGUUUUCCUUCAGUUUCAGUCAAGUAGUUAAACUCAAUAAACUAAGGGUAGUGAUUUUCACGCUCCCCUUUUUAUAACAACUCUUUUUUGUUAUGUGUUUUCUUGUAAUGUGAAUUUACAAUGUUGUCCUUCCAAGUGUGAAAAAAUACACGAAUGAAAUGUUAAUUUUGUAAAUUCACAUAACAAGAAGACAAAAAAGGGGUGGUUAUAAAAAAGAAAGUGCGAAAAUCAAUUACAUAAACGAAAUUCCAACCAUGUACAACGAAACUAAAAGAGACCUUGUAAGAACAGUAAAAAUCUAACUUUGCAUCAACUAAGCAUUAUCAAUUGAAACCAGAGAAUAAACUAGAUUUCUGUUUUAUGGAUAACUGAGAAUCAACUAGAUUCAUAAAAUUGUAUCAAGCUCCCUUCGACAUCUCCAAUGCAUAUGAAUAUCGUCCAGAUACUUAAAAGUGCCAGAAAAUUUUAAUUUCAGAACAACCCAAAGGACACACACACAAGCAUGCGCGCUCGCGCGCGCACAGAGAGAGAGAGAGAGAGAGGAUUCCAAAAGCACCCAAGAAACCAUUUACAAUUGAAAGGAAAACCCAUAAAGAAUGGUAUCAUAAAUCCUUAAAAGAACUAAUAACUCACGUGAAAAAAAUUAGAGCAAAAAAGGAGUAAAUGAAUAGGCUGCUGAAGGAAAAUGAUUGGAUUCGGCAUUUAAUCAAAGCCCCAUUGGGCAUCUCACACAAGGACAUCAGGUAAGUACAGUAAAAGAAAGUGCAAGAAAGUUGUACUUCUAAAAAGUAAAAACUAUAUACCCCAAAAAGUUAAGAUAUGCAAAAAGAAGUGGAUUCCAACAGUUCCC
This is a long non-coding RNA of Rhododendron vialii, 960 nucleotides long. RefSeq lists it as uncharacterized. The record is from RefSeq and is a predicted model, not a curated record. NCBI's taxonomy places the organism in Eukaryota, Viridiplantae, Streptophyta, Magnoliopsida, Ericales, Ericaceae. The transcript has 2 exons.